AGAGUUUGAUCAGUGGCUCAGAACGAACGCUGGCGGCAUGCCUAACACAUGCAAGUCGAACGAGACCUUCGGGUCUAGUGGCGCACGGGUGCGUAACGCGUGGGAAUCUGCCCCUUGGUUCGGAAUAACAGUUAGAAAUGACUGCUAAUACCGGAUGAUGACGAAAGUCCAAAGAUUUAUCGCCGAGGGAUGAGCCCGCGUAGGAUUAGCUAGUUGGUGAGGUAAAGGCUCACCAAGGCGACGAUCCUUAGCUGGUCUGAGAGGAUGAUCAGCCACACUGGGACUGAGACACGGCCCAGACUCCUACGGGAGGCAGCAGUGGGGAAUAUUGGACAAUGGGCGAAAGCCUGAUCCAGCAAUGCCGCGUGAGUGAUGAAGGCCUUAGGGUCGUAAAGCUCUUUUACCAGGGAUGAUAAUGACAGUACCUGGAGAAUAAGCUCCGGCUAACUCCGUG
This 454-nucleotide ribosomal RNA is filed under the name uncultured bacterium. Its description in RNAcentral is "bacterial SSU rRNA". It matches the Rfam family "Bacterial small subunit ribosomal RNA", at positions 8 to 507 of the family's 1533-position model. The record is from RNAcentral.